Molecule: transfer RNA, 72 nt
Filed under: Camelus bactrianus (Bactrian camel)
Lineage: Eukaryota; Metazoa; Chordata; Mammalia; Artiodactyla; Camelidae
Also listed under: 1 other name
Rfam family: tRNA
About the family: Transfer RNA (tRNA) molecules are approximately 80 nucleotides in length. Their secondary structure includes four short double-helical elements and three loops (D, anti-codon, and T loops).
Source: Rfam by way of RNAcentral
GAGGGUAUAGCUCAGUGGUAGAAUGCAUACUUAGCAUGCGUGAGGUCCUGGGUUCAAUCCCCAGUAUCUCCA